RNAcentral lists this ribosomal RNA (424 nucleotides) under uncultured archaeon. RNAcentral's name for it is "partial 16S ribosomal RNA". It matches the Rfam family "Archaeal small subunit ribosomal RNA", at positions 323 to 746 of the family's 1478-position model. The record is from RNAcentral.
CUACGGGUGGCUGCAGCUGCGAAUUUUUUGCAAUGCACGAAAGUGUGACAAAGCGAGCCAAAGUGCUUAUCGUACAGAUAAGCUUUUCUUCAACGUAAAAACUUGGAGGAAUAAGGACUGGGAAAGACCGGUGCCAGCCGCCGCGGUAAUACCUGCAGUUCAAGUGGCAUCCAUUUUUAUUGGGUCUAAAACAUCCGUAGCUUGCUAUUUAAGUCUCUUGUGAAAUCUAAUAUCUCAAGUAUUAGGCUUGCGGGAGAUACUGAAUAGCUAGAGACCGGUAGGCGUAAGGAGUACGGGCAAGGUAGUGGUAAAAUACGUUAAUCUUGCUUGGACUAACAAUUUAGCGAAGGCACCUUACGAGGACGGAUCUGACAGUGAGGGAUGAAGGCCAGGGGCGCAAAACGGAUUAGAUACCCUUGUAGUC